UACGGAGGGGGCUAGCGUUAUUCGGAAUUACUGGGCGUAAAGCGCGCGCAGGUGGCGCAGUAAGUGGCUGGUGAAAGCCCUCGGCUCAACCGAGGAACUGCCUGCCAAACUGCUGCGCUUGAGGCCGGGAGGGGGAAGCGGAAUUCCUGGUGUAGCGGUGAUAUGCGUAGAUACCAGGAGGAACACCGGUGGCGAAGGCGGCUUCCUGGACCGGUUCUGACACUCAUGCGCGAAAGCGUGGGGAGCAAACAGG
Molecule: ribosomal RNA, 253 nt
Filed under: uncultured bacterium
Lineage: Bacteria
Description: partial 16S ribosomal RNA
Rfam family: Bacterial small subunit ribosomal RNA
Source: RNAcentral